CCUACGGGUGGCUGCAGUGGGGAAUAUUGGACAAUGGGCGAAAGCCUGAUCCAGCCAUGCCGCGUGUGUGAAGAAGGCCUUCGGGUUGUAAAGCACUUUCAUUGGGGAAGAAAGCCUUGGGGCUAAUACCCUCGAGGAAGGACAUCACCCACAGAAGAAGCACCGGCUAACUCCGUGCCAGCAGCCGCGGUAAUACGGAGGGUGCGAGCGUUAAUCGGAAUUACUGGGCGUAAAGCGCGCGUAGGCGGUCUGAUAAGCCGGUUGUGAAAGCCCCGGGCUCAACCUGGGAACGGCAUCCGGAACUGUGAGGCUAGAGUGCAGGAGAGGAAGGUAGAAGUCCAGGUGUAGCGGUGAAAUGCGUAGAGAUCGGGAGGAAUACCAGUGGCGAAGGCGGCCUUCUGGACUGACACUGACGCUGAGGUGCGAAAGCGUGGGUAGCAAACAGGAUUAGAUACCCCAGUAGUC
This 465-nucleotide ribosomal RNA is filed under the name Vreelandella stevensii. Its description in RNAcentral is "partial 16S ribosomal RNA". It matches the Rfam family "Bacterial small subunit ribosomal RNA", at positions 338 to 795 of the family's 1533-position model. The record is from RNAcentral. Lineage: Bacteria; Pseudomonadati; Pseudomonadota; Gammaproteobacteria; Oceanospirillales; Halomonadaceae.